GUAAGUUUAGAAACAUUUUGAGUCCCCCCUGCCUUGCCUCACAGUGGUUUGGUCCACCGCGCGUGUGUGCAGAGGUCCGGCGGCGCCGGCGGGAGAGAGCAGCUCUUCAGACAGUGGUUGAGAGGAGAUCCAGCCGAGUUGCAGAACGCUGCCAGGCAUGUUGUGUCCCUUUACGCAGUGCUCUAACAAGUGAGUCAUGCUCACCGUCACGGAUGGAUGAAGGGCAGGUUCAGAGAGAGCAGGUCACAGCGGGCAGGAGGCAACACAGCUGCAGGGUCAGGAAACCCCUGGGAACAGGGUGCAGUCUGCAGGGAGACCGCAUCAGGAAAUUCAGUGGACCAGAGUAUGGCCAGCAUUCCCUGGUCUUUUCAAGGCACGAAAAGGCUUUAUCCCAGCUCCUAAAAAAAGGCCUGCCAGGUCAACGCCAAUCCAGUUUUUCCUGCUAAAUAAAAGUGUUGAAUGGACCCAAAAGCCUCUGAGUUGAUUCUUCUACAGGCUGGACUAGGACGGAGGACUGUUGCUGAUCACUCUGAGGUGGUCAGUGAAAGCUGAAUGUUGUUGCUCCGGAAGCUGAAGGAUACACAGGUUCCUGCCUCAUUGAAACGGUUGGAGGAAAGGGCUGUUUAUACAUAAUGCCCAUUCAGAACACACCGGACAUCUCCCCUUUACCUUACUCAUCCAAAGAGUUUGAAAAAAUGCCAAAAGCUCGAUGUGUCAAAUGUCACACAGACAUGGCUGUUCAACUGUUGGCUGAGCACGUCCAGAAGUGUGAGACAGACAUAUGGAUCAACAGCAGCGAUAGUGAAUCAGUAAAGUCUAUUUAAUUAUUUUUUUUGUUUUUAAUAGUUUCAUUGUGUUCAUAAUAAGUAAAAUUUACAAUUGUC
Long non-coding RNA from Ctenopharyngodon idella (grass carp), 884 nucleotides. RefSeq lists it as uncharacterized. The record is from RefSeq and is a predicted model, not a curated record. The transcript is spliced from 5 exons. Lineage: Eukaryota; Metazoa; Chordata; Actinopteri; Cypriniformes; Xenocyprididae.